Molecule: long non-coding RNA, 1133 nt
Filed under: Citrus x clementina
Lineage: Eukaryota; Viridiplantae; Streptophyta; Magnoliopsida; Sapindales; Rutaceae
Description: Citrus clementina (C. clementina) long non-coding RNA (CCLE_LNC001599)
Source: RNAcentral
GUAUUAUUAUUAUAUUUCAUUAGUUUAUUGGAUUUAUCAAGUGGCGAUUUAAAUAUUUCAAAUGGGAUCAUGUAUUAUUAUAUUUUGUUAGUUUAUUGAAUUUAUCAAGUGGGGAAACUAACAAUUUGAAUUCGACUAACUUAUGUGCUGAUAAUUUUAUUAGUUAUUGUUGUUAUUAUUAUUUUAAAUAUUUCAAAUAAGAUCAAGUAUUAUAUAUUAUAUUUCAUUACUUUAUUGAAUUUUUUAUAUUUCAUAUAUGAGCUCAGUUGAGCUAUCCCAACAAGUAUCCCUUGAGCUCGCCCAAGCUACCUUUGAGCUUACUUCAGCUUCCUUUAUCAUCAACUCCCUAAAUCAGCUUUCAUGAGCUCCACUGAACUCUCCAUAUUCCCAAAAUAAUCACCUCAAGUUAUCACUUUCGCUAUACCACUUGCCCCAAGCAUCACAACAACAUACUUAAAACCUUGUUAGCCCAAUAUACACUCAAAUAUUUGUUUGACUCGGAUUCAAACUAGAUCCAAUAAGAACUGCUAAUUAGUUCAAAUUAGAUCCUACCAAAAAUCUGAUAAAAUACAAUAUUGAAGAUUUUUCAUUUAAUUUAAUGUGAUAUUGAUUUGUUUGAAUUACAAGUAUAAUCUCUAUAAAUUAAUACUCGAUAAAUUAAUAACCUCUAUUUUAUAAUAAUUUAUUACGGUCCCAACUAGGCUAAUAAGCUAAAUUAAUAAUUUCAACAAAUUAAAAAGAUAGUGCUUUCUCUGAAAGCUCUUACAUAACUUUGUGAUCCCAUCAUAUAUAAAUUAAUAAUUUGCUAAAUCACAAAAAUGAUUGUUAUGAUAUUUUAUUAAAUAUAAUAUAAUUGUAUUUUUAUUUUUUAAAAUUUAAAUAUAGUUGGAUCUCAUCUCUAUUUUUGCAUAUUGCAUCUAGAAGUUUUGGGGUUGAAUUCUCAACUUGCAUAAUUUUAAACAUGUAUGUUUAUUAUAAAUUGUAAAUACACUCUAUAAAUUAAGAUUUUAUACGGUGCACACACUAUUCAUGUAUAUAGGUUUUACAAUAAAUGAAGAGAAAAAUAUUCUUGAAACUAAGCAAACAAAAUAUAACUGCAAAUUAAAGGUAUAUAUAUAUAUAUAUAUAUAUAU